This 868-nucleotide ribosomal RNA is filed under the name uncultured archaeon. RNAcentral's name for it is "bacterial SSU rRNA". It matches the Rfam family "Archaeal small subunit ribosomal RNA", at positions 1 to 878 of the family's 1478-position model. The record is from RNAcentral.
CUCCGGUUGAUCCUGCCGGACCUGACUGCUAUCGGAUUGGUACUAAGCCAUGCGAGUCGUUGUAGCAAUACAAGGCGGACGGCUCAGUAACACGUAGUCAACCUAACCUAUGGACGUGGAUAACCUCGGGAAACUGAGAAUAAACCGCGAUAGAUCAUUAUGCCUGGAAUGGCUUAUGGUUCAAACAAUUUAUUGCCGUAGGAUGGGACUGCGGCCUAUCAGCUUGUUGGUGAGGUAAUGGCCCACCAAGGCUAUAACAGGUACGGGCUCUGAGAGGAGAAGCCCGGAGAUGGGUACUGAGACACGGACCCAGGCCCUAUGGGGCGCAGCAGGCGAGAAACCUUAGCAAUGUGCGAAAGCACGACUAGGUUAAUCCGAGUGAUUUCUGUUGAAGAAAUCUUUUGUCAGUCGUAAAACCACAGACGAAUAAGGGGUGGGCAAGUCUGGUGUCAGCCGCCGCGGUAAUACCAGCACCUCGAGUGGUCAGGAGGUUUAUUGGGCCUAAAGCAUCCGUAGCCGGCUACGCAAGUCUCCGGUUAAAUCCAGCUGCUCAACAGAUGGGCUGCCGGAGAUACUACAUAGCUAGGGAGCGGGAGAGGUAGACGGUAUUCUGUGGGUAGGGGUAAAAUCCACUGAUCCAUAGAGGACCACCAGUGGCGAAGGCGGUCUACCAGAACGCGUUCGACGGUGAGGGAUGAAAGCUGGGGGAGCAAACCGGAUUAGAUACCCGGGUAGUCCCAGCUGUAAACGAUGCAAACUCGGUGAUGCAUUGGCUUAUGGCCAAUGCAGUGCCGCAGGGAAGCCGUUAAGUUUGCCGCCUGGGAAGUACGGACGCAAGUCUGAAACUUAAAGGAAUGGGCGGGGAGCA